CUACGGGAUGCUGCAGUAGGGAAUUUUCGGCAAUGGGCGCAAGCCUUACCGAGCAACGCCGCGUGGAGGAUGACGCAUUUCGGUGUGUAAACUCCUUUUAUAUGUCAAGAAAAUGACGGUAGCAUAUGAAUAAGCACCGGCUAACUCCGUGCCAGCAGCCGCGGUAAUACGGAGGGUGCAAGCGUUACUCGGAAUCACUGGGCGUAAAGGACGCGUAGGCGGGUUGGAAAGUCAGGUGUGAAAUCCUACAGCUUAACUGUAGAACUGCACUUGAAACUUCUAAUCUAGAGUAUGGGAGGGGGAGAUGGAAUUAGUGGUGUAGGGGUAAAAUCCGUAGAUAUCACUAGGAAUACCUAAAGCGAAGGCGAUCUCCUGGAACAUUACUGACGCUAAGGCGUGAAAGCGUGGGGAGCAAACAGGAUUAGAUACCCUAGUAGUC
RNAcentral lists this ribosomal RNA (439 nucleotides) under uncultured bacterium. Its description in RNAcentral is "partial 16S ribosomal RNA". It matches the Rfam family "Bacterial small subunit ribosomal RNA", at positions 339 to 795 of the family's 1533-position model. The record is from RNAcentral.